This is a long non-coding RNA of Triticum dicoccoides, 1132 nucleotides long. RefSeq lists it as uncharacterized. The record is from RefSeq and is a predicted model, not a curated record. The transcript is spliced from 4 exons. Lineage: Eukaryota; Viridiplantae; Streptophyta; Magnoliopsida; Poales; Poaceae.
UCGUCCGGAGGCAGCGGCAGCGACGGCACCGGAGGGACAACCCGGCGGCGAGGACUACCUCUCUGGCGCGUGGAGUACUUCCUUUCCUCUCUCAUGCGGUAGGGACUCAGAGGCGCCGUGGGUGGUGUAAGGUCCGGGCGAGCUCGGCAGCGAUAACGGCCUUCUCCGGCGUCCCUCUCCACCGCCGGCGGUAUUAUCGCUAGAAUUGAAAUUCUGCCAAGCAAUCUAGGAGUAGAAGAAUAUGUAUGCAAGGGACUUGGAGACGAGGCAAUGGUUUUGAAGCUUUGGGAGCCUGCGGCCGGUUCGACGGAUGACAUCAGCAAGCGCCGGCCCGCCUCGGCACAGCUGCGGGUUGUUAUAUGGUGGGCGGAGCACACGAGUGAGCUUCGAUGUCAGGGUAUACGUUCCACAUGCUUGUGAGGUACACAUUUUAUAGGUCCAGAUGUAAGUGUUUGCUUGAUUUGUCGCUCAAGUUUCAUGUUCAAAUGAUGCUCCUUGACUUCAAUACAAUGUUGGUAUGUAGGAUGACUAUCUAUGCAACUUAUCAUGCACAAAUUAAAAAAUGCUUGGCUCCUCUUCUGCAUGUCUCCAAGGAAUAAUUUCUGAUGUAUAAUGAGAUAAUGAUUAUUUCUUUUUAUUUCUUAUCAUGCGGCUAGUUGCUACAAAAAAUUAACACAUACAUCGCCACUUAUCAUUAAAACAAAAUCAUAUCUGCCAAGUUUCUACAUUCCGUCGAAGCUUGCAGAUUUACCAUCUAUUUUGGUACAUUAUUGAAACAAAUCGUAACCAUGGAUUCUAUAUGGAAGAUCGAAAUAUCAUUUUUACAUUAGGUUCAUGUACUAUAAGGAAUCGACUUUGUUCAUCUUCAACCCAUUUUCCUAUCUUGCAAAGCUGUCCAUUAAAGUAUGGUCAAUUUAUACUCUGUGACUUAAUACAUUUGUAACACUGUCAUAGUGCCAUUGACAUGCUCUUUUUUCACCCCAUUUAAUAUUGAUUCAUCUACAUGGUUAUAUGCAUGCUUUUGCAUACAUAACUUAUCCAGUCCGCUAUUGAUCAUUUCAAUUUUUCAUCCCGGCAGUACGUCGAUAGCCUAACUAGUCUGCUAUUGAUCAUUUCCAUUUUCAUCCCGGCA